This 353-nucleotide ribosomal RNA is filed under the name uncultured bacterium. RNAcentral's name for it is "partial 16S ribosomal RNA". It matches the Rfam family "Bacterial small subunit ribosomal RNA", at positions 338 to 688 of the family's 1533-position model. The record is from RNAcentral.
CCUACGGGAGGCAGCAGUGAGGAAUAUUGGUCAAUGGGCGCGAGCCUGAACCAGCCAAGUAGCGUGAAGGAUGACUGCCCUACGGGUUGUAAACUUCUUUUAUAAAGGAAUAAAGUGAGGCACGUGUGCCUUUUUGUAUGUACUUUAUGAAUAAGGAUCGGCUAACUCCGUGCCAGCAGCCGCGGUAAUACGGAGGAUCCGAGCGUUAUCCGGAUUUAUUGGGUUUAAAGGGAGCGUAGAUGGGUUGUUAAGUCAGUUGAGAAAGUUUGCGGCUCAACCGUAACAUUGCAAUUGAUACUGGCAGGCUGGAGUACAGUGGAGGGAGGGGGGAGUCGGGGGGUAGGGGUGAAAUG